RNAcentral lists this ribosomal RNA (711 nucleotides) under uncultured bacterium. RNAcentral describes it as "bacterial SSU rRNA". It matches the Rfam family "Bacterial small subunit ribosomal RNA", at positions 94 to 803 of the family's 1533-position model. The record is from RNAcentral.
AGCGGCGGACGGGGGGGNGGCACUUAGGAAUCUACCUAGUAGUGGGGGAUAGCANGGGGAAACUCGUAUUAAUACCGCAUACGACCUACGGGAGAAAGGGGGCAACUUAUUGCUCUCGCUAUUAGAUGAGCCUAAGUCGGAUUAGCUAGUUGGUGGGGUAAAGGCCUACCAAGGCGACGAUCUGUAGCUGGUCUGAGAGGAUGAUCAGCCACACCGGGACUGAGACACGGCCCGGACUCCUACGGGAGGCAGCAGUGGGGAAUAUUGGACAAUGGGGGCAACCCUGAUCCAGCCAUGCCGCGUGUGUGAAGAAGGCCUUUUGGUUGUAAAGCACUUUAAGCAGUGAAGAAGACCUAACGGUUAAUACCCGUUAGCGAUGACAUUAGCUGCAGAAUAAGCACCGGCUAACUCUGUGCCAGCAGCCGCGGUAAUACAGAGGGUGCAAGCGUUAAUCGGAAUUACUGGGCGUAAAGCGAGCGUAGGUGGCUUGAUAAGUCAGAUGUGAAAUCCCCGGGCUUAACCUGGGAACUGCAUCUGAUACUGUUAGGCUAGAAUAGGUGAGAGGAAGGUAGAAUUCCAGGUGUAGCGGUGAAAUGCGUAAAGAUCUGGAGGAAUACCGAUGGCGAAGGCAGCCUUCUGGCAUCAUAUUGACACUGAGGUUCGAAAGCGUGGGUAGCAAACAGGAUUAGAUACCCUGGUAGUCCACGCCGA